GGGUUGUGAGGUUAAGCGACUAAGCGUACACGGUGGAUGCCCUGGCAGUCAGAGGCGAUGAAGGACGUGCUAAUCUGCGAUAAGCGUCGGUGAGGUGAUAUGAACCGUUAUAACCGGCGAUUUCCGAAUGGGGAAACCCAGUGUGUUUCGACACACUAUCAUUAACUGAAUCCAUAGGUUAAUGAGGCGAACCGGGGGAACUGAAACAUCUAAGUACCCCGAGGAAAAGAAAUCAACCGAGAUUCCCCCAGUAGCGGCGAGCGAACGGGGAGGAGCCCAGAGCCUGAAUCAGUGUGUGUGUUAGUGGAAGCGUCUGGAAAGGCGCGCGAUACAGGGUGACAGCCCCGUACACAAAAAUGCACAUACUGUGAGCUCGAUGAGUAGGGCGGGACACGUGGUAUCCUGUCUGAAUAUGGGGGGCCCAUCCUCCAAGGCUAAAUACUCCUGACUGACCGAUAGUGAACCAGUACCGUGAGGGAAAGGCGAAAAGAACCCCGGCGAGGGGAGUGAAAAAGAACCUGAAACCGUGUACGUACAAGCAGUGGGAGCCUCUUAAUGGGGUGACUGCGUACCUUUUGUAUAAUGGGUCAGCGACUUAUAUUCUGUAGCAAGGUUAACCGAAUAGGGGAGCCGAAGGGAAACCGAGUCUUAACUGGGCGUUAAGUUGCAGGGUAUAGACCCGAAACCCGGUGAUCUAGCCAUGGGCAGGUUGAAGGUUGGGUAACACUAACUGGAGGACCGAACCGACUAAUGUUGAAAAAUUAGCGGAUGACUUGUGGCUGGGGGUGAAAGGCCAAUCAAACCGGGAGAUAGCUGGUUCUCCCCGAAAGCUAUUUAGGUAGCGCCUCGUGAAUUCAUCUCCGGGGGUAGAGCACUGUUUCGGCAAGGGGGUCAUCCCGACUUACCAACCCGAUGCAAACUGCGAAUACCGGAGAAUGUUAUCACGGGAGACACACGGCGGGUGCUAACGUCCGUCGUGAAGAGGGAAACAACCCAGACCGCCAGCUAAGGUCCCAAAGUCAUGGUUAAGUGGGAAACGAUGUGGGAAGGCCCAGACAGCCAGGAUGUUGGCUUAGAAGCAGCCAUCAUUUAAAGAAAGCGUAAUAGCUCACUGGUCGAGUCGGCCUGCGCGGAAGAUGUAACGGGGCUAAACCAUGCACCGAAGCUGCGGCAGCGACACUAUGUGUUGUUGGGUAGGGGAGCGUUCUGUAAGCCUGUGAAGGUGGCCUGUGAGGGUUGCUGGAGGUAUCAGAAGUGCGAAUGCUGACAUAAGUAACGAUAAAGCGGGUGAAAAGCCCGCUCGCCGGAAGACCAAGGGUUCCUGUCCAACGUUAAUCGGGGCAGGGUGAGUCGACCCCUAAGGCGAGGCCGAAAGGCGUAGUCGAUGGGAAACAGGUUAAUAUUCCUGUACUUGGUGUUACUGCGAAGGGGGGACGGAGAAGGCUAUGUUGGCCGGGCGACGGUUGUCCCGGUUUAAGCGUGUAGGCUGGUUUUCCAGGCAAAUCCGGAAAACCAAGGCUGAGGCGUGAUGACGAGGCACUACGGUGCUGAAGCGACAAAUGCCCUGCUUCCAGGAAAAGCCUCUAAGCAUCAGGUAACAUCAAAUCGUACCCCAAACCGACACAGGUGGUCAGGUAGAGAAUACCAAGGCGCUUGAGAGAACUCGGGUGAAGGAACUAGGCAAAAUGGUGCCGUAACUUCGGGAGAAGGCACGCUGAUAUGUAGGUGAAGCGACUUGCUCGUGGAGCUGAAAUCAGUCGAAGAUACCAGCUGGCUGCAACUGUUUAUUAAAAACACAGCACUGUGCAAACACGAAAGUGGACGUAUACGGUGUGACGCCUGCCCGGUGCCGGAAGGUUAAUUGAUGGGGUUAGCGGCAACGCGAAGCUCUUGAUCGAAGCCCCGGUAAACGGCGGCCGUAACUAUAACGGUCCUAAGGUAGCGAAAUUCCUUGUCGGGUAAGUUCCGACCUGCACGAAUGGCGUAAUGAUGGCCAGGCUGUCUCCACCCGAGACUCAGUGAAAUUGAACUCGCUGUGAAGAUGCAGUGUACCCGCGGCAAGACGGAAAGACCCCGUGAACCUUUACUAUAGCUUGACACUGAACAUUGAGCCUUGAUGUGUAGGAUAGGUGGGAGGCUUUGAAGUGUGGACGCCAGUCUGCAUGGAGCCGACCUUGAAAUACCACCCUUUAAUGUUUGAUGUUCUAACGUUGGCCCGUAAUCCGGGUUGCGGACAGUGUCUGGUGGGUAGUUUGACUGGGGCGGUCUCCUCCUAAAGAGUAACGGAGGAGCACGAAGGUUGGCUAAUCCUGGUCGGACAUCAGGAGGUUAGUGCAAUGGCAUAAGCCAGCUUGACUGCGAGCGUGACGGCGCGAGCAGGUGCGAAAGCAGGUCAUAGUGAUCCGGUGGUUCUGAAUGGAAGGGCCAUCGCUCAACGGAUAAAAGGUACUCCGGGGAUAACAGGCUGAUACCGCCCAAGAGUUCAUAUCGACGGCGGUGUUUGGCACCUCGAUGUCGGCUCAUCACAUCCUGGGGCUGAAGUAGGUCCCAAGGGUAUGGCUGUUCGCCAUUUAAAGUGGUACGCGAGCUGGGUUUAGAACGUCGUGAGACAGUUCGGUCCCUAUCUGCCGUGGGCGCUGGAGAACUGAGGGGGGCUGCUCCUAGUACGAGAGGACCGGAGUGGACGCAUCACUGGUGUUCGGGUUGUCAUGCCAAUGGCACUGCCCGGUAGCUAAAUGCGGAAGAGAUAAGUGCUGAAAGCAUCUAAGCACGAAACUUGCCCCGAGAUGAGUUCUCCCUGAGACUUAGAGUCUCCUGAAGGAACGUUGAAGACGACGACGUUGAUAGGCCGGGUGUGUAAGCGCAGCGAUGCGUUGAGCUAACCGGUACUAAUGAACCGUGAGGCUUAACCUUACAACGCCGAAG
Molecule: ribosomal RNA, 2925 nt
Filed under: Escherichia coli O2:H6
Lineage: Bacteria; Pseudomonadati; Pseudomonadota; Gammaproteobacteria; Enterobacterales; Enterobacteriaceae
Description: 23S ribosomal RNA
Rfam family: Bacterial large subunit ribosomal RNA
Source: RNAcentral